CACAAUUAGCACCAUUAGACGAGGCGUUGAAGCUUCCAAUGCACGAUUAGUACGCAUAUCUAUAAUACGCAUGAUUAGCACUAUUAGACUGAAAUUGCAAUAGCUCUAGAAGGCAAUUGACAACAACUUGAGCAACAGGUUUGGAGUGACCGUAUUACAAAAUAAACCAUCUACAGUGGACUUGGAAGUGGCAGUGAAUGGAAUAUUGAAUAAUAUUGAUCGAGGCGUUGAAGUUUCAAUUCAAUCAUGGAGGAUGAUAGCUCUAAUUUGGGACUGUAUUGGGCGAGGAUAGCAAUGACAAUGACAUGGCUACAUGUUAAUUCGCUUUCCGCAUGAUAAUAUUUUCAAGGUGGAAAUGAGAGUUGUGUUAAAGGGUUUGCGUGUUGCAUGGGGGAUAGGAUUGCGAUAGGUUGAGGUAGACUGUGAUAAUGCACUUCUAGUUGAAUCAUUGUUGGCUGGUGGAUCUGUUAAUAGCAGAAUGGUGGAGCUACAUUUGAUUCAUGGUAUCUUUAAUCGUAAGUGAAAGGUGCCAUGUUCCUAGAUCCCAAAACGCGGUUGCUGGUCAUAGGGCAAGACUUG
RNAcentral lists this long non-coding RNA (579 nucleotides) under Gossypium barbadense (sea-island cotton). RNAcentral's name for it is "long non-coding RNA (GBAR_LNC020583)". Lineage: Eukaryota; Viridiplantae; Streptophyta; Magnoliopsida; Malvales; Malvaceae. The record is from RNAcentral.